CUCUUAAACAAAGCCUGACUAUGACCAUAUGACCUGACCAUGACUAUGAAAAGGAUAUAUUCUGAAUCAGGGGAGGAUGGAGAAAAAUCCACUUUUUAUUUGUAUAGAGCCGUGGAUUUUUGUUUAUCCUUCUCUGAUUCAGAAUAUAACAUUUUCAUAGUCAUGGCACGCUUGGUUCAAUAGCUAUUGAUGAAAUAAAACACAAUUUCCACCAAAUAUCCAAUAUCAAACUACUUUUACCUCGGUCCACACUUAGGAGCAGACAAAUAGUGGCAUUCAAUCAAGGGCACAGCCACAUUCAAAUCAACAAAUAGUGAAAUACUGUGAUAAUGUUGCCCACCUGUGUCCGUGGUGAGAGGUGAAGAGCCCAUAUAAGAUCCGUAACAACCGUAAGAGGUGGGGAACCCAAACUCAUACAUCCCGGAACUGUAGAGACCGUUAUUCCCAUUAUAUUCCAGCAAAGAAUGAGAGUCAAACUUCAGCUGGCCAUGCGGUGGAUCCGAGCAGUGUCCGGUUGGUUGGUUAGGGAAGAAGUUGUAUCCUGUAGCCCUUGAAAUGGGUAAGAUUUGAGAUUCCUUUGAGUCGUGCAUGGUGUAGUGAAUCGAGGUAGUCUGAGUUGAUUGCAUAGCUGUGUCAGCAGUCUGUAAAACUCCAGUUAUGGCACCAUAACGCUAUGCAGACCUGCAAACAACUGCCGAAAUUAAGUCUUUUAGGAUAAUAUUUCUAUUCCAUUCUAUUCUAAAAGUAGUUCUCCAAGGUAAUUGUCCACUGUCUAAGUCUCCAAUGAUUGCCUACACGUGGCAAAUUAUGAUCAAAUAGCCCACUGUUAUCAUGAGAGUUUACCGUUUAUCUGUUUCUACUCUAUAGCCUAGAUAUGUUGGAGUGGUGUCAUCUCCUAUUCAAGCCAUGGAAUGACUGAAGCUUCAGGUGUCUGCUCUUCAGGAUGAGACGGUCUGGUCUGACGUGAACCAGGAGACUGAUGGUACGCUCAACUCGCACUCACCUUCGGAUCAGCGAGAGGUUAUGGCGCCAUCUGGGGGUCUUUGUGUGAUGUUGCUACAACCCGGCAGACACAUACCAAUAGUCUACUCCACCUUACACACUUCAUAAUUACCAACGGCGCCAGUGCUCACCCACACAGGCGAGCAAAACAACCAUUAAGGGUGACUGAGGGUAUAUUUACACUGUCUAUGUGUGCCCACCACGCAUUAAGGCUUACCUCUGACUCCACUGUAAAUAUAAAUCAUGAUCUUGAGACCACAGCAGCAGCUGCAAGUGGGGUAUAGGCUAGGCUGUGUCUCAAUAGUCUGAAGUUGCUUCCUCUCCUUCCUCUGCCUUUAUCUGAAAACACAGGCUAGUUGAAAGCGCACCAUUAAUAUAUCAUCACCUGUCCAUAUGAAGACUAUCAAUAUGGACCCCUCCAUUUCCUUUACUUCACAUUAGUGUUGAGUCAUGGGGGACAUUUUUACUGUACUUGAUAACCACAUGGCCACUAGAUGGCCUUGCACGGCUCUUUAUGUACAGCGUGUAGCCUUAGUAAUAACAGUAUCCCUGUAUGCAUAAAAGCCAAGGCCCUUUACCAACAUGUCAGGAGCGUUAUGGCACUUGUGGUAGUGCACUAGCUAUAUUUCCGCAGGGUCACUGGUUCAAACCCAGCUCUGGCUGUCGCCACAGUGUGUUGUUUAGGAGGAAGAUAAACGCAAACAUAACAUUUACUGCUAUUACAUUGUCAAAGUAAUGUAAGCCACACUGAUGCCUCAAUGGAAAUGUCUAAUUAUGAAAUGUUAGAUACUUUAGCUGUAUUGUUCUGUAGUCGUAGUGUUCUUUGUUUUUAAAUUUGUGUUGCUGUUCUUGUCUUUUGGUGUUCAGUAUUAUUUCAUGUUUUGUGUGGACCCCAGGAAGAGUAGCUGCUGCUUCUUCAACAGCUAAUGGGAUCCUGAAUAAAAUCAUGAAUCAUAAAAUGA
Oncorhynchus mykiss (rainbow trout) is the source of this 1964-nucleotide non-coding RNA. Lineage: Eukaryota; Metazoa; Chordata; Actinopteri; Salmoniformes; Salmonidae. The record is from RefSeq and is a predicted model, not a curated record.